Molecule: long non-coding RNA, 1637 nt
Organism: Macrobrachium nipponense
Lineage: Eukaryota; Metazoa; Arthropoda; Malacostraca; Decapoda; Palaemonidae
Exons: 3
Source: RefSeq, a predicted model, not a curated record
AAUUUGUGUUCGUUGCUGCGAAGCUUUCAUGUCAUUAUAUUUAAGAAAGUAUGGAUAUGGGCGGUUCUACUUUGGACGAGAGAGGUUCUUUCCCGCUUACGUUGGCUUCGUCUUUCAGAAGGGAUCCCCCAUCACACCAGUCUUCACACAUUUCAUACUCACGAUGCAAGAGACUGGUUAUUUCAAUAAAAUGCUUGAAAAAGAGUUCCAAAAGAUUCCACGGGAUCCAUCAGCAAAAGUAGAGGGGGAAGAAAAAAGUUUUGCAAUUGCCAUCACACACCUGCAGGCUUGCUUCUACAUAUAUGUUAUCGGAAUGUCUGCAGCUUCUAUGGCAUGGUUGCUUGAGUGCAUUACAUUCUUCUGUAAUAAAAAAGACUAAAUAGUGCUAUCUUAAGAUGCCAGAUGACACGAAGUAAGUUUGUGCUCCAGAUAUUUUGUGAUCGAAGGAAGGAACCCAGGACAGCUUGAGAAACAGAACAAAAUUAUUAGGUUGGCUCGCCUACAUCAUUUAAUUAUCAACAGAUCUAGCAUAGCGUGAACGGAACCUUGCUAGUUCGGAUAUUGUCAGCCAGUACUUCAGUGCAUCAGAAACUGACGAAGUUAUCCUUUAUGCAGUGCAUGACGGAAGAGAAACCUGCGCAUCAUUUACUCCUAGGACUUGUCUAUAUUUAUAAGUAUACAAAGCAGUUUGCUAAAGAUUUAGAAAGUUUAAAAUCCUUCACUGAAACAGAGGACAAAGUCAGAAGAUAUCAGAAUGUUAAGUAGGAUAGCCGUAGCAAAGAGAAAGUAGGAUUAUUGUUACCUCUUCUGACACGAAUCAACAAAAUACAGUUCAGUGAUGACGCAGACAUCAAGAUUUAUGUCCCAGUACCUCUACACUCACAGCAGUACUGUACUAGAUGCCUUCUAAUGCAGUGAAAUGGACAGAUUUUUUUACGUUUAGGUAAAUGGUAUUGGUUAGCAAAACAGGAUAUUUUUGGUGUUAGAACUUUGUGAAAGGUUAAAACUUCCAUAAAAAAAGUAAUGGUUCAGAAACACUAGAGGUCUCUUUUUCUAUUAAGAGUAUUUUAAUUUACAGCAACAACAUUAUGUUAACCUGUAACCACUCUCCCCACUCUUUCAUAAAAAUAUAACAUUAUUUUUUUGUUUGUUUUCAUGAACAAAUAGAAAUGGCAUUCGUUUUCAUAUAAGCACUCAUAGCGUGCCAAGAAGGGCGUUUUAACCCUGCAUUCACGAAAGGAAAACAUUCUAGUAAAUUUUAUUUAGAAUCGUCCAUUUCCAAUAAAAUCUGUCUGUCUUCAGAUAAAGUUAGAUAUAGAUCCAUGCAAUAUUCACCCUUUGUCUAAUCUUUGCAAAAUUACCUUCAGUAUAGAUAAAAUUACACACCAUGCCAUUUUCAGUGUUAUUGACAGCGCAAGUUAAUUUUAGAAUAUAAAGAAAUGGUAAAACUGUUCUAAAAGGGCAUAAUACAAAAUAUAAAAUACUUCUUAAAAUCGUGAUUUGAAAUCAUGUGUAGAGCAACCGUCAUAUGGCGUGAAAUAAAGUGCAAUACAACCAAGUCUUUCCUUUGUAUCUAAUAGUUUAUGUUACCAGAACAAUAACAUACCCCCCAAAAAAGUGUUCUAUCUGGGGACUCC